RNAcentral lists this long non-coding RNA (14080 nucleotides) under Nicotiana tabacum (common tobacco). RNAcentral describes it as "long non-coding RNA (NTAB_LNC011412)". Lineage: Eukaryota; Viridiplantae; Streptophyta; Magnoliopsida; Solanales; Solanaceae. The record is from RNAcentral.
UUUUGGAGAAGCGUGUUCUGUUGGUCCCAAUCCCCUAGGAAUAUGAGAGUAAGAGGAUUGUUGCAUUCCACUCCCAAAGUCACUGUUCAUGUGGGAAGAAUGUUGCAUUCCACUCGCAUAGCCACCAUUCAUGUGGGAGCUAGAAUGCUGCAUUCCAGUCCCAUAGGCACCAUUCAUGUGGGAACUAGAAUGAUGCAUUCCACUCGCAUAGCCACCAUUCAUGCGGGAGCUAGAGUGCUGCAUUCCGCUCCCAUAGCCACCAUCGAUGUGGGAACUAGAGUGCUGCAUUCCACUCCCAUAGUCACUAUUAUCGCUGGAAAAGUUUGAGGAAUCAUGGGACAUGUGCCCAUAUUGGCCAUGGCUAUUGUGGUGACCAUAGCCCGUUUGGUACUUGUCCUUGUUGUACCAGCUAUCAUCGUCAUGGCUAUAGCCGCCUUGGCUCAUCAUCAUGUGAUGUUGGGUGCGCUGAGGAGUGGUUACGCUGGGAUAACCAUAAGGCUUUGUCAUUUGCAUGCUUGAGCCGUAGUUGCUGUUAUAUUUGUCCUCAGAGGAGUAGAAGUCGUUCCCGUUAUAGUAGCUUUGUUGCUGCUUGAAGCCAGGAGCAGGAUAGCUUUCAGUUUGGAGAACCAUUUUGGAUUGUCUAAAGAAGAGGAGUCGUACUAAAAUAUUGAGCUAUUUGCUUGUAUAAAUGGUCUGUAGAGUUGAUCAGAUUUAUAGGGCUAUGGCAAGAGGAUUUUCGGAUUCCAAUCAGAUAAGUGAGGAUCUUAUUCCUCUUAUUGAGGUUCUGAAAUGGCGCACAUUUAGUGGUGGUCGUCUCUAACACUUGGGCAUUCAAAAAUGCUCCCGACUUUAUCCCCAAACACCAACUUGCAUAUGGAAUCAGAUUUGCACACCACCUUGCAUUUGGAAUCAGAUUUGCUAUUUACAUCACUUAUAAACUUCCCCCGCAAUAGGCAUAAUACGUUGAAUUUGCGGUUCAGAUUUUUCAUUCUACUUUUAUCUUUUUUUUUUGAGCAAACAGGAAUAAUAUGUAUUAAUAACUAGUUGUUGCGUACAUAGCCUUCAUAGUUUCUGUCACUAAGGACACUUCGAUUUCCUAAGCUUGCUAAGAUAUUACACAUCAUAAGAUAAAGUCUUAAUACAAACAUAGAGUUCCUUUUGGUCACUCUCUACUAGAGAGUCUACAUAACAUGGUGGUAAUACAAAAACUUGCUUUCCUUUCUGCCUUGACUUCUUUGCCAAGUGACGUGCAAUCCUAUUCCCUUGCCUGAAGGUGUGCUGGAGGAUCACCUUCUGUUGGUGCAUGAACAACCUGCAUUUAUCAAUAAUGUUAUUUUAUAAUCUGUUCCUUGAUGUAUUGAAUGAAUCACCUCCGUGGAGUCCGUCUCUAUUUCUAGCGGGAACAUUCCUCAUUCUUGUGUUGUUUUUAGCCCCUCCAUGAGUGCUUUCAUUUCUGCAUAUAGUGAUCAAGUAGCCUGGGUAGUCUUAGCAAAUCCAACUAUCCAAUUCCUACGGGUAUCUCUGAUUAUUCCUCCAAUGCAAGUUUUUUCGUUGUGAUUUUUAAAACAAGCAUCAAUAUUUAGUUUAAACCACCCUCUAGAUGGCUUGUUCCAUUUAAUCUUAAUGGGGAUUUUGGUACAUGUGCUAGGACAUUUUCCAGUGAGAAGAAUAAAUUCAAUUGCUUUUUGGAUGACAUGAUUAAUAUUAAUAGGAAAGUCCGUGUUGUUUUGAUUGUUAUUAUUUCUAUUGAUCCAAAUAUAUUAAAUGACAAAAGGGAAGAAGUAAUUCCAGUUUAGAAGGUAUUUGUGAGGGUGAAAUCUAAGCUUUUUAUCUUUAUGAGAGAAUAUAUAUGGAUAUAUUGCUUGAGAAGACUUACCCAAUCAUACCGUUAAGGAAUCUCAUAACUCUGAUUAGUCGGCAUUUAGUAGAAACUAGUUAUUUGUUAGUGCUUCACGCAGUCAUAAAAUAUGAUAGCGAAUUUAAUAUACGAUUUAGUAGUUAAUUUGGACAAGAUAUAAGUGUUGACGACUAAUUUUGACUCUUCCUUUAAAAAUUAAAUUAUUUAUACUUGAUGUAUUGCAAUAAAUGUGGUUACCAUGUUUUCUAAUCAAUAAUACCUAUUUUCAUAUAAAUAUAAUAGGAAAUUAGUAAUUAAUAGUGUUAAACUAAUAAUUUAUUAUUAAAUACUUAUAAAAUAUAUUACCCUUACUAUUUUAAAAUUAUUAAAACAACCUCUAUAUUUUGAUACAAAAGUUUUAUAAUUAAUUUAAUAAAUUAAUCUUUGAUUUUUAAUUACAUCGCUCAUUAUUUAAAUCAAUCAAAAUUAAAUUUCAUAAUUUGGUAAAUAAAGUAUAUUAAUAAAUAAUGAAUUAAUUACAGUAAUUUAUAGUGAAUUUGAUGAUUAUAUUUUUAUCAUAUUCAAUUAGAAUUAAUUAAGCUUAAUUAAGUUAAUUUUAAAGGAAUUAAAAGAUUAAAAGGCUACAAUUGCAAAGCCUAAUGAAACACAAUGUUGCUAUGUGUUAAAUCAAUUCAUCCCAAAAACAGAGGCCCAAUUGCUCAACCUGAUCUGGAACUAUCCCCUCCCAUCCACCUUGGCAAUUCAUGCCAACUCUUGAGAGUCAAUGUAAUCAUGCCACGUUAUCUGCACCCUCCACUCUCAAAACAAACAUAAGUGAUAUGGGCCGUCAAUCCAAAUCAUCGACGAUCCAAAUUUAUUCCCACUUUUUCCUUUAUUUUAAACCUCUCAUCAAAUUUUAUCCUAACCGUUGGAUCACACGGAUUUAACGGCCCACGUUUUUUCCCCAUUAACCAGUUUACUGGGUUUUAUAUCUGGAAUUAUCACCGUCAUUGUUCAAAUGAUCUAACGGCCUACGAUUCAUAUUUCACUUUAUACCUUAGAGACCAACCAAGUGACCCCUAAUCCUAAUCAUUUCUCACAUUGAACGGCCGCCUCUCUUUCCUCCUUUCCUCUCUAUUCUCUCAACCUCUCAUCUCCCAUCAUUCUUCAAUCCUUACAGAAAUUGACGCAAGGUCACGAAUUCGAACUUUACAACACUGAAUCUGCCUCCUAUAUGCACGAAUCUCGCUUGAUUCUUUCACCUUUCAUCACUACACCUCAAAUCCCCAAAUCUGAAAUCCUAGACCUAAAAUACAAAACUUCAAUUUGUUUGAUUUUCUCUUCCGUUCUUUCAAAUCAAAGAAUGCAUAGUUGUAUCUUCAGCUUCAUCAUCGUGAUUCUUUCUCCAGAGAUCAAACAUAGUGGCCUCUAGAUAUCGGGGUUUGACCACUGGGUUGUAGACUUCAAUGGCCGACUUCCUUCCUCUUAAGUAAAAUCCAUCACUGAUUUCCCCUUCAUUCCUCCUAAUUUCACCUAUCAUUUAGCGUCAGCAUUCACUGCCUGUUCGAACUAAUUUGAAUUCCUAAGGCUUCAACAUCCACUAUAAAUAUGAACUUUCAAUGCUCUCAACUAACAUGACUUGACAAAGGCGAAUAUACCUAACACUAUCAGUUAAAACAUUGAAAGAUUUCAAAAUUUUAAGGCUUUUCGGUUAAGUCUUGAAGGUCCAAUAGCUUUCUCUUAACUUUCUUUUCUUCCUUUCAUUUUUGCUCGAGUUGGGUUGUUGUACAUGAUUAAUUGGGGUUUGGACUCCCAAACGGUUAAACAAAAAGCUCUUGUUUGGUUUGCUGCCCUGCAGAAGGUCAAUGUACACUGAUUCUCUCUCCUCCUCUUUCUUUAAUUAAUUGUAUUGCUUCGUGUAUAUGAUGUCUUCUCUGAUAAUUAGCUCUCAUUUGUAAUGCAUAUCAGUAUCUCAUGUUCGUGUUUAUUAUAUCCUGCCUUCACAUGUCAUUCUUGCUGAUUGAAUAAAUUAUCUCCUGAAUGGUUAUGAUUGUGUUAAUGUUGUUGGCCAAAUUGUUGUUGUUAAUGAACUUCUUUUCCUAUGAUUUAGAUAAAUAAUAAAUGCCUUCUUGAUUACUGAUCCUGUUAAAUAUCUUUAUAAUGAAUUGAACUAGGCCUAAGCUAAUGUUAUGCAUACUCUAUCAGUUGAAUAAUGAUUGUACUGUUAUGUUUGGACAACUAAAUUGAACUAUGCCUUUUAGACCUUGUUUAAUGUCAUUUUAAGAGCUCAUCUGCUGCACCAUGCCAUAUGGAUCCUUAUGUUUGUAAUGUUAUGCCAUGCUAUGGAUCAAAUAAAAGUUAUUUUCAUUAUAGUUCAUAUUAUGUCUUUGACUCGUUUACAAUGACUGAACAAUUUAUUAUUGAAACCAUGUAUGAUGUGCACACAUAAGGAUUCAUGCAAAUCUGUUAUUAUAACCUAAACUCAUGUAAUGAGUUCAUCAGUUUAGUUGUCAUGCAAUCUGCUCAUCUGAUCUUGUAAGUGAUCCUUAAUGACUUCUAUAUGAAAGAUUUCUAUACUUGGUUAAGUGAUCCUUGAUGAUUUCUAUACUUGUGUUUACACCUUGAUGCUCAUGUACCUUUUACCUGCUUGUCAUGUAAUAAAGCUUCAUGAAUAAACUACCAAGUGCUUUAUUUGAAAACGAUUUUGUCAAAUAAGAAAAUUGAAUCUUGUCUGCCCUAAUAACUUAGUAGCCUGAGCUAUACAGAAUUUGAAAUGGGGAGUUUACUGCUGUCAUUAAUAAGCUUGAGCAAACUCAAUAAUACUUGCUUCUCUUGCUGAAAUGAACACUGCCCCAUGUCUGGGUCAUAUCCGUGUCUCUAUGACGUAAUCAUGAAUUUUGAAGUAACCUAAUAGACUAGAUGUCCUGAUAUUAAGUUUGAAUUAGAUCAAAACUUAUUCGUCUAGCCUACUUUGAUGUCUCUGAUGUUGUUAUUAUCGUUAGGAAGCUAAUACUAGUUAAUAUAAGUGUUUAGUAGAAUAAAUACUCAAUCAUGUGUGUAUGUUUACUUCUGACAGUUCUUAAGGUCACUAAAACACUGUUGAAGUACUGUGAACCUAGUUGAGGUUCCUUGAAAUACUGAACUUUUAGCAGAACUAAUGAGAUUAAUUUGCAAGUCUUUCCAAUCAUUUUGAUCACUUAAUUUAGCAUUUCUAAACUAGAGAUGAUUUGUUAAUAAAUUCCACUUACUCCUUCUGUUCUUACAUCAGUAUGGUAGUUUUUCUUUAAUUGUUCUGAUACAUGCUAUAAAUGGUCAUUGAUACUCUAAGUACUUGUAGUAGUUUGCCUACUUGUGUUUGAGUUCUGAUUCUAAGGUUAAUGAUGUAAUGAUAAUGUUUCUGUGGAAAUUCUUGUCUGAACCUUUAUAUCUACAACUGCUCUCAUGUUAAUUGCUAAAGUGAAUACCUCAUUUGUAUCUAAACCUUUGGGGAAGAGUAACUAUAUAUGGUUAAGGGUAUUUGGAGUGGAACCUGUGCCCUUCCCUGGCACAAACACUGCUCGGUGUUUAUGAGAUCCUUAUGAACUCUAAUGUGCCGGGGAUUCAAAGGGUAUUUUGCCAUGGAUAAGGUUUUGCUUUAAGCCUCUAAUCACUGACUAUUAUUGAUCCUUUUAGGAUUAAUACAAAUGAAAAUAGUUUCACUUUAUUCUUUAAUAUUGUUUACUCAUUGUUAUUUUGUUUUGUUGUGCCUCAUAUUGGUUUUAAUAAUUAUUUUUAUUUAUCUCUUUGGGUGCAUGUUUGAACUGGGGCUACCGGGUUCUUUAGAACUCAGGUCCAAGUUCAAGUCUAGUUUUCCUUUCCUGCUUUAUGAAGUCUGCUUCUGCUUUAGACCUGCAGGGCUUGGUCCACUGGCCCUAUAACAAAUAAUCUAGUUUCCUUUUCUCUUCUCACUUUUAGACAAUAAAAUUUCUGCUUAUUGUGUGUAUAUAUCUUUGGUACUAAUACUAUAAUUGGAUACUUCUGUUAUAUAUUGAUUAUUUUAGGAACCAAGGAAAAGUAAGGCCUAUAGGUAAAUAAAAAGAAUCUGAGUUUAUAUCAUAUUCGCUGAAAUACGUCAAUGUGUACUUACUUGUCUUGUUUGAACUGGAGAUGUUUGUUUAUAUGUUCCUUUAAUUGUGCUUAACUUUUAAAAUAUGUGCUUACUUGUCUUACUUGUUUAUAUCUCUAUAACUCGUUAAACAUGUACUUAUUUGCAUGCUUUUAAUGUUGUUACUACCAUCACAAUUAUCUGUUACUACAUUAUACACCGUCACCACGUUCUUUUCUAUCGACUCUUGGCCUUACACAAUCAAUACACGAUGAUUGUCUUUUAUACCCCUCCGAACCUUCUUUCAAAUUUCUCUAGUUUCAGAGAACAACUUUGGCAGGUCAAUUGACAUAAUGUUUCACAGUGUUCAGUCCAACUCUAAAAUUAGGAAACAAUCUACUGUAGCAAAUAUAGUUCAUGCUGCAUAAACCUUAGGUGAGUCGGUCCUUGGCAUUGACUCAUAAUUAGGAAACCCAACUUAAUAUUAACGGGGUUAUGUACCCAACGACAUGCCUUUUGUGGAACAACGAAUCAAUCCUGUUGAGAUGCUAAAUAUCCAUAUCAAACACUUUCCAAACCUUUUUACCUUUAUAGAUGGAAAACAACUACAACAUACUCGAAAUUAACAUAGUCAUGGAUGCACCACACAAGCUUAACCAGUGGUGGAGAAACAUUCACCGGGAGCAUGGGGUUGAGAUCAGAACACACUUGGGAGCAUUGGCCGCUAUGAUGAAUAUUUUAGCUGACAAGGUCCUUAAAAGAUUGCUCAUAGGGUUUUGGGACCCAGAUAAGGUGUUUUCAAGUUCGUCGAUUGUGAAUUGUCACUACAUGUUGUUAUGACCGACUACAUGUUCCUUCAUGCAUUGGGUCUAACAAACAAUAGGAAUUUGAGAAACUUUGAAGGUGGAUGGGUGAGCUUAGACUAGAUGUUAGAAAGAUUCGGACACCGGGAAAGUUACGAGUGGCAUCUUGAGAAGUUUCAAUGAGAUCAAGAAACAUGAUAGAGUCUCUCUAUUAUUGGGAUUGCUGGUCUUCCCGCAAAGAAAGGGACAAAUCAACAUCAACUUGUUGCCCAUGAUUUUGGCAUCCUUGUGAGGGAAUCUAAUGAUAUUAGCAGAUACAUUCCAAUCAUUGUCAGCAUGCUCCAGAGGAUAUGAAUUUUUAAAAGGUUGCAACCUACUACUCCAUAUUUGGGCCACUGAACAUUUCUUUUAGAGGGAGGCAACCGUCGAAUAUUUUGUAGGCAUUAGUAACAUUAUCAAGGCCCAUAAUAAAAGGAUGAGGCACUGGGUUACACCGCACCGACAAUAGGAGUGGCGUGACAUGUUGACCUAUUUGAGUGGAGAAUUUGUGAACUGGAUGCUUUCAUGGUUAAGUAGCAGGGAAACUAUGUGGAGCCACAUAAAAUACUUCAUUGAGUUAGUGGGACUUGAAGGAAUCCAGCCAUCUGUACCUCUGUGCGUUCUAAGGCAAUUUUGCCUGAUCUAAGACGUACCCUUCUGGUCAAGGACAACUUUAUAUGAAGACGAUUAAAAUGGUAAAUUCCAAUCCCGAGGGUGAGGAGACAUCAAGAUGAAUGGAACGACUUGAUCAUGAGGCCGAUGAGUCAGAAUUCCUUGUAUACGCCUGAAUACUUCGUGUGGAUCAACAAGGAGGAUGAGUUGGCCAGACCUAGUAAAGAAGGGUUGACCAGACUAGAGGAUUUAGUAGUAGCUCUGCAUUUAUAUCAUGAGAUCAUGCCUCACUAUCUUGUCACUACCGCCAUGCAUCGACAAUUGGUACCAGGGACGGUCAACCAUAUUUUAUCGCCAAAUGAGGACGAUGAUCGGGUGAUUGAGUACAUAUAAAUUGUGUCAAAACAGAGCUAGAAGAGGAUCCUAAGGAAGAGCCUGAGUACAACAAUGAUGUGGAGGAAGAAGAAGUCGAAGAGGACCCUAAGGAGGAGCCUGAAGAAGAAAACUUGGGAGGUGACUCUGAGGAUGAUUAUUAAGUGGCUGGUUGAUUUCCCAUUAUCUUUUACCCCUUUUUCAUUUCCCUAAGGGCGAACAAUUGAGCCCACAAUGUUGUAACCACCGCUCCCAUCUCUUGUUAUCCAAAAGUCUAUCAAUGAAAACUAAAGUUUGCUCGGGAUAUGUGCCUAAAUAUUAUUGUUUGUAAAAUAUUUGUGACAUGAGAACCUCCCGCAAAGAGAGCUCCUUCUUCUCUUAGGAAACACAGUUAUCUGAAUACGUGAACUAAUUGCUCUAUGUGCUUAUAUUUGUGUAAACUCUGAGACUAACUUAUACUUUCCCUUAUUUUAUCGCUUUGUUACUUUAAUUUUACCCCAAAAAUAGAGGUUGGUUUGUGUUCAUACGUAACACUGUCUAAGCUACCGUACAAUCUGAGAUCUAAGAGAAAGAUGUCUGCAACUGACGACCCAACAAGAAACGCUUUAUUAAUAGCCAACAACCCAGGGCAAUAGGAGGAAAAGGAUGAUAUCCGAAAUGAUAGCACACUACUAGGAUGGAGAAAGAAAUGGAAUCACUAAAAGAGGAAGUACAACAUAUCUAGGAGAUGCCACAUUUGGCCAUGGCGAUGCUUCUGCAACCACCCCAUUUCCCUUCCUUUGAUUCCAUCGCUGACAAUUUACCUCCAACCAUUCAAUAAAUAGCCAGUAUCCCAACCUUUGUCACCUCAAAUCCCACAACCCAAUUUAUUCCACAUGUAAAUCCUACAAAUCGGCCAAACCCCCUAUACAUACACCUUAUAUCCCAAACUAUUUCAAAACACAACACAAUCCACCAGUCCCUACAAAUUUAGUUCAUACCUCUCCUCAUGACAACAUCACUUUUACCUACAAUCAGACCUAGCACAUACUUGCGGCACACAUUUCCAUCCCUGAGUGAUAUGUUCCACAUGUAUAUGCCGCCUCUAAACCUGCCUUCAUCGCGCCCGUCACAUCCAGAGUGUAAUACGAGAUUGAUCAAUAUGCUGAGAUGGAGAAAGAAUCAAGGUACAGUGAAGAGGAGUCAGUGUUAGAAUAGUUGCGAGUAUUGAGAAAGUAGAUGAAGAAUCUCCAAGUUGCAUGAGGGAGCGAGAGCCUAGAUUAUGAAGAGUUGUGUAUACAUAUCGAUGUUGACAUUACCGCAAGGUAUAAGCCUCCAAAGUUUGACAUCUUUGAUGGAAUGGGUGAUCCCCACCAUGUGCAUUUGAGGGCCUACUGUGACAAGUUGCUCGGGGUAGGAAGAAAUGAGAAGUUGAGAGUGAAGUUAUUUAUAAGGAGUCUGACAUGAGAAGCAGUUACUUGGUAUACCCGACAAGACCCUAGGAAUUGGAGAGAAUGGCAAGACAUGGCUGAGGAUUUUAUAAAAAUUUCAGGUUUAAUACCGAGAUCACUAUAGACAGGUUCAUUCUAGUAAAUUUUCUUAUGAAACCCUCAGAAUUGUUUCAAGAGAACGCUCGCCGUUGGAGAUCGGAAGCUCCCAGGACCCAACCUCCGCUGGACGAUAAUGAGCUAACCAAGUAUUUUAUCAGGGCCCAAGAGGAGAUUUAUUUUGAAAAGAUGAUGGGUAUGAUAUGUCAGUAGUUUCCCGAGCUGUUCAAGAUAGGAGAAUUUUGGGAAGAAAGAAUUAAGUCAGGCAAAUCAAUGGCUGAGCUGCAAGCUGCCAGUAAGGCAAGACAAUCAAUCUCCAUAGGUAGUGCGAAGAAGAAGAAGAAGAAGGAGGAAGUAAUAGCAAUUGUCCCCUACUAUCAGUCUAGUCCUCCUCGUAGAACAAACUCCUACCCCAUAAACACCCAUCCUUUUAAUCAACCCACCUACACUAUAGUAUGUAACUCCCGACCAUACUACAAUGCUCAACCUCAAUACAAUCCACUUCAAGACCAUAUAAAUCCAAACCCACCACGACCAUAUGCCUACACCACGGCCACACCCAAAUUUUGAAGAAAGAAAUCCCAGAAACUACACUCUAAUUGAUGAACCCUUAGCCCAUUCCUUGAGAGGUUGAGGAGAGACAGAUUGAUAUAUCUAGUGGAAAAGAUAAUUCCCGAUAAACCCUCCAAAUAUUUUGAUACCAAACAUUGUGCCUACCAUUCGGGUGUUCAUGCACAUGAUACUGAGGACUGCUAUAGAAUAAAGAAUGAGAUCGAGCUGCAUAUCAAAAGUGGAGCCAUCCAAUGUACCUCGGCUCCACCAAAUGUAAACUGUAACCCACUGCUGAACUAUAGAAAUCAGAGAGACAAACAUGAUCGCAUUGGAUGAGGAUUAUGAUUUUAAGGGGACCAUUGUCGCUAUUGGCAAUACCAAAGUUGCAAGAGUUAUACCCCAAAAGACUCCAUUUAUUACUGUAUAUUUGAAACCUCCUGUGAUUGCACAAACAUACCAACAAAGGUCUACUUUUGCUGUUAGAAAUUAGUAGAGUCGAGACUAGAAAAUAGUGCCAUUGACUUACCAGUCAAAAGGAUAGGGUAAAAUGAUAGACUCCGUAGUUGCUCGCAGGAUGACCAGAUCAGGGACGUGUUACACCACAAAAUAAGUAAACCAAGGGAACCCGAGUAGAGAACAAAAUCAAAUAAGAAAUAUAAUAGAUGCUAAGGCAGCAGAAUAUUUGAGGAAAAAGCUAGUUAAACAGUAUUCCAUGGAAGAAUAGUUGAGGAAUAACCUUUUUCACAUAUCUGAUCAUGGAUUUUUUGAUGAGAUCUGAUGGUCAUGGGAUGCUUUGGUGAAGGUUCUAAGCUGAGUAAAUGAACCAAGGAAUACUACUAGUGAGGCAUUUGCAGCUGACAACAACCAUUGGAAAGAUGGUCGAAGCAAACAAGAUUUCCUUUCGGAGAGAUGUACUUACUGUAGAGGGUAUGGAUCAAAAUAGAGCUCUACAUAUCACAGUCAAGUAUGGGGAUAAAGUCGUGUCUUGAGUGCUUGUCGACGGAAGAUCCGGAGCAAACAUUUUUUCGUUCUCUACUCUACAAGAAUUUGGUAUUCUUCUGAGGAAAGUAAAGGAAAGCCAUGUAAGAGUUAGAGCUUUUUAUGGGUCACAAAAAGAUGUCAUCAGAUAUAUUUACUUAGCCUUACAGAUUGGACCAACUGGGUUCCUAAUAUUGUUUAAAUUUAUGGACAUUCUUCUUCGUGCAACGUGUUGCUGGUGAGGCUGUGGAUAUAUAUGGUAGGGGCAGUUCCUUCAACACUCCAGCUGUGUAUGAAGUUUGAGUGGGAUUUCUAAUAGAUUCUGAUACAUGUGGAGUGGAGCCGGUCAGCUUACUUGUAGCAUUCAAUACCUUUCAUAUAAGGAUUAUAUGGGGUCGGCUUUCAUGUAGUAGGGAUCAUGCAAGCAACAGAAUGGAGGAAAGUGAGCAGAACCAUGGUAUGCAACCACUAUACAGGUCGAAGAUGGCAAUGAGGGAGAUGGUGAAGUAUGGGUACCAACUAGGGACUGGGUUGGGAGCCCCAUAAAAUGGGAUAACAAAGCCAAUUAAAGCAAAAGGGUACCUCUGGCUUAGGGUGUCAACCUACAGUUGGAAAGCCUUAUACUGGUAACCCUCGGAAAAAGGUUUUUAUUACACCCCAUAUUUUUGUAUGUGAGAGUAUGUCGUAAGUCAAUUGAUGUCAGCUCAAAAAUGAGAUCAUCUUUGAAAGUGCAUAAAGUAAGUUAAUCAUGUUACCUUGGAGGUUUCAAAUAUUUAAGAUCAUGAAUAACAAGUACCAAGAGGGUUAGAAAGUUUAGACUCUAAACGACUUGAAGAAAAUAUUUUUCGUCGAAAGUCGACAAGUUUGAAAUGUUAUAACAUGUACUUUUGGGGUGAGAAUAAGGUGCUUAACAUUAAAAGGAGGUUAUGUUUUGAGUUAUUUUAAUCAUAUGAUAGUCUUGUGUUACAUUUUGACAUCAAACGAGUUGUGGAACAAAAGUUGGCAAAGGUCAUCAUAAGUUACAUUCAUAAUGUGCUGAAAAUAGGUCAAAUGUAGCUGAAAUGUUCUCUCAAUAUAUUUGAAAUUAAGGGAUGAUCUGCAUAUCAAAUUGAAUAUCUACGAGUCUAGUUUUUAACGCAUUAAACCAUUUGUUUAUACAACAUUGGAAUAGAGAGAUAUUCGUAUUUUUGCCAGACCGCGCAAGCAGUUCCUAAUGGGACCCACUUACUUGGUGGUCGACCUACUUCACUUUAUAAAUGAUUUGGACGCCUAUUUUUUGCUCAUUAUUUAUUCAAAUUCGUCUCCAAACGUCUCUUAAUCCUCCUAAAUAGAUACCAUGUGGGUUUGAAGUGAUUACACCAUAUUUCAACAUCAAAAGUUAGUUCUAGUUAAGAACAACACCUCUUUGAGGUUGUGUUGUCAUUGAGGAUAGUUGUGGGCUGUGUUUGGCUGAAAUUUAAAGUGGUUUCUGCUGGUUUACGUAUGUAUAAUACUCUACUACAUUUUAUUGAAGUUUUUUGUAUGUUGGUUGCAUUAUUUGAGCAAGAUACUACAAGAGAAGACUUGAAAUAGUUUGAUAUGUUAUUGUUCUUAAUGGACUGCUUUAAGAGUGUUGUUUUCAUGAAAUUUAAAUGGUUGGAGACCUUAGAAAAUGACAUGUUUAUGCUUUUAUUUUCAUGAAUAUAUUGUCUACAUGACAAACUUGCUAUUGGUAUUGUGAAUAAGAAGAUAAAGGACAAUAUAAUAAUGGAAAGCUAUACUUGUUGUUAUUGUUGGGUUGUUUGAGUAUGGAUUAGGUGAUUAAUAGGAGGUUGGAAGUCCUCUGAUGUUACUUGGUAUCAUGCUCGAUAUGUUUUUAAGUUAACUAAUGUAUGAUAAUGGGGUUGAAGGGUUCUAAAGGGAUUCAACCUGAGCUUACAGCUCGUCAUGAUAUGUUGAAUACUUGUUAAUGAAAUAUUGUGUACCCUAUUGUUGAUGUUAUUCUUAUUGUAUUGCUCUGGUUGUUGUUGUUGGUAUAUGGUAUUGGAUAAUGCCCUUGUUAUAGGGUAGAUGCUGCCCAAAUUUACGUAAAUGAACUACUAUCUUAAGUUGCGAACUUAGCCUUUACUCGACAUAUAUUUUGAAUCUCCUUAUGCUAUGGUAGAUUUAGCUAAGUUGUUUGAAGAUUUUCUUGGAAGGUAUGAAUGACUCAAUGGGGUUAUGGUAUGUUAAGGCUAUCCCUUCUUUCCUUUUGGCAUGAUCCAUAUGACAAACGAAACGAGCAAAUGCAGAACUUUCCCAAAUGACUCUAUUCUUAUAAGUACUAGGGGUGCAUAUAUUUUUGAUUCCCCAUGUGUCUUAUUAUUAUAUCGUCUAUUCAGAGAUCCUAGAAAAUACAUAAGUUGAUAAAGUUUAUUUCGUGAUAUAACCGAUGACAUAUUUAUCUUAUGACAUCCCGAUAGAUUUUGUUGACUUACUUCUUAUACAUUGCAUUUAUUUAUACAUGUACAUUGACCCAUGACUAGAUGACGUUAUAUACGCAUAUAUUAUUGUUUAUAUUGAAAAUGGUAAUAACGAUUAGAUUUGAUUUUGUGGUUCUAAAAAUAUGUGAUUUAUUUUUAUGCUAGUCGUUAGGCAAUAGAUGCUAAGUGAAAGAUUAGAAAAAAAUAAGAUAAUAACUUGUAGAUAGUAUAAUAACCAAACCGAAUGGCUGGAAAUCGGAGCCUCGAGCUUGCGUAUACGGGACCUCGAUGUCUAGUCAGGUGCCCGACUAAGGAUAGUCGAUGGAGGAUUAACAGUUAUGACAAAUUUGAUGGUCGCUCUUUAUGACCAAUAAAUGAAGAACAAUAAAUAGAACACAAUAAAUAUAAGCAAUAAAUGUAAGUAGUGAGAUCAAGAGAAUAUGUUAAGUACCAUCUCGAGGCUUGUAAUGAUAUCAAUGGCCCUUUAGAGCCUAUCUUCUUCUUGACAGAGGUCCUCAAGAUCAGGUACCAUCUCGAGGCUUGUAAUGAUAUCAAUGGCUCCUUAUAGCCUAUCUUCUUUUUGAUAGAGAUCCUCGAGAUCGGGUACCAUCUCGAGACUUGUAAUGAUAUCAAUGGCUCCUCAGAGCCUAUCUUCUUUUUGACAUAGAUCCUCGAGAUCGAGUACCAUCUCGAGGCUUCUAAUGAUAUCAAUGGCUCCUUAUAGCCUAUCUUUUUCUUGACAGAGGUCCUCGAGAUCGGGUACCAUUUUGAGGCUUGUAAUGAUAUCAAUGGCUCCUUAGAGCCUAUCUUCUUCUUGACAGAGGUCCUUGAGAUCG